UGUGUGUGUGUGUGUGUGUGUGUGUGUGUAAGCUCAACAAGAGCAGAGAAUACAAAUACCCUCCCCCUUCUCACAUGAGUACAUACAUACACACACACACACACACACACA
Molecule: microRNA precursor, 111 nt
Filed under: Marmota monax (woodchuck)
Lineage: Eukaryota; Metazoa; Chordata; Mammalia; Rodentia; Sciuridae
Source: RNAcentral